GACGAACGCUGGCGGCGUGCUUAACACAUGCAAGUCGAACGGUGAUGCGCCAGCUUGCUUGAGGGGAUCAGUGGCGAACGUGUGAGUAACAUGUGAGCAACCUGCCCCGGACUGUGGAAUAAGCGCUGGAAACGGCGACUAAUACUGGAUACGAAACUGGCCCGCAGGGGCAUGGUUUGGAAAGUUUGUCUGUUUGGGAUGGGCUCGCGGCGUAUCGGUUUGUGGGUGAGGUAAUGGCCCACCAAGGCGACGACGGGUAGCCGGCCGGAGCGGGCGACCGGCGGCAUGAGAACUGAGACGCCGACCAUACGCCUGAGACAGGGACCAGUCUCCUACGGGAGGCAGCAGUGGGGAAUCUUGCCCAGCGGGCGCGCGCCUGAUGAAGCGACGCCGGGUGUGGGAUGACCGCCUUCGGGUUGCAAACCUCUUUCAGCAGGGAAGAAGCGCAAGUCACGGUACCUGCAGAAGAAGCACCGGCUAACUACGUG
Molecule: ribosomal RNA, 488 nt
Filed under: uncultured bacterium
Lineage: Bacteria
Description: partial 16S ribosomal RNA
Rfam family: Bacterial small subunit ribosomal RNA
Source: RNAcentral